RNAcentral lists this ribosomal RNA (253 nucleotides) under uncultured bacterium. RNAcentral's name for it is "partial 16S ribosomal RNA". It matches the Rfam family "Bacterial small subunit ribosomal RNA", at positions 524 to 776 of the family's 1533-position model. The record is from RNAcentral.
UACGUAGGGUGCAAGCGUUGUCCGGAAUUAUUGGGCGUAAAGAGCUCGUAGGCGGUUUGUCGCGUCUGCUGUGAAAACUCAGGGCUUAACCCUGAGCCUGCAGUGGGUACGGGCAGACUAGAGUGUGGUAGGGGAGAUCGGAAUUCCUGGUGUAGCGGUGGAAUGCGCAGAUAUCAGGAGGAACACCGGUGGCGAAGGCGGUUCUCUGGGCCUUACCUGACACUGAGGAGCGAAAGCGUGGGGAGCGAACAGG